CUCUUUCUGUUGUACAAAUGCAUGGCAUAUUUUAGAAUUCAGUGACCUUCAAUGAUGUGCAUGUGAAAUUCAGCCAAGAAGAGUGGGCUUUGCUGGAACCCUCACAGAAACAACUCUACAAAGAUGUUAUGCUAGAGACCUGUAAAAACCUCACUGCAAUAGGCUACAAUUGGGAAGACCAUGCCCUUGAAGAACAUUUUCAAAGUUCUACAAGUAAUAAAAGGCAUGAAUACAGUCAUACUGGAGAGAAACCCUUUAAAUGCACUCUAUGUGGUAAAGCCUUCCCCUAUAUCACUGUUCUCAUACGGCAUAAAAGAACACACACAGGAGAGAAGUCUUACAAAUGUAAUCAAUGUGAUAAAGCCUUUGCAAAAAAAGUCAUCUCAUGUGGCAUAAAAUAACACACACUGGAGAGAAACCUUAUGAAUGUAACCAGUGUGGUAAAGCCUUUGCAGAAAACAGUAAUCUCUUAAACCAUAAAAGAACACAUAUUGGAGAGAAACCUUAUGAAUGCAACCAGUGUGGUAAAGCCUUUGCAAAAAACAAUACUCUCAUAUGGCAUAAAAGAACACACACUGGAGAGAAACCUCAUGAAUGUAACCAGUGCGGUAAAGCCUUUGCACAAAACACUCUUGUCAUAAGACAUAAAAGAACACACCCUGGAGAGAAACCUUAUGAAUGUAACCAGUGCAGUAAAGCCUUUGCAAAAAAAAAAAAAAAAGUCAUCUCAUAAGCUAUAAAAGAACACAUACUAGACAGAAACCUUAUGAAUAUACUCAAUAUGAUAAAGCCUUUGCACAGCAGAGUAGUCUCUAAAAACAUGAAAAAACACACCGUGAAGAGAAGCCUGGUGAGGGUAAUUAGUGUGAUGAAGUUUUUGCAUAUAACAGUCAUCGGAAACCACACGAAUAUACCUAUGUGGCAAAGCCUUUGCACAUAACAUCUCCUAAUACAUAAAAGAACACAUACUGGAAAGAAGCUGUCUGACUGUAACCAAUAUAAAAAAUCUUUUGGACUUCAGAAUCAUCUUCACAUUCAUGAAAGAAAUCCUAAUGGACAGAAAGCCUGUGAGUGCUUUUAACAAGGUGAAACCAUUCCACAUUUGUAUAAUCUUCAUCAUCAUGAAAGGAUUCAUACUGGAGAAAAAACUUAUAAAUAUGUUCAAAUUGUGAGGCCUUGCACAAAUCUAGAGUCAUCAUCAUCAUAAAAGUAUCCUUACUGGAGAGGGAUUCUGUGACUAUGAGAAAUAUGGAAAGACCUUUGUGAUCUUUGGUCUACUGAGAUCCAACAGAACUGAAAAACUAGCUCAAUGGAAAUUACUUCCCUUUUCUGAAGGGGAAGGGGAAAGGGAAUAGGGGCAAUAGGAAUGGAGGGUAGUACUCGGGGAGAGGAGGGAGGGGAGAUUAUGAUUGGAAAGUAAAUUAAAUAAACUUAUUUUUAAAAAGAAUACAAUGAAUGGUAAAAUCAAUUACAUGCAAAAGUAUUAUAUAAUGUGUUUAGGGAAGACUUAUUGAUAAACCUGAUUCUCAACAUUUACUGUUUUCAAUUGCCUCACUUUAUACAAGAAACUUUUAGUCCAGUGGAUGAAUAUGUAGGGUAUGGUGAACUAACACCAGCCAGGAAGUUCUCUGAGAGUAUCACAACAGUGGUAACCUGUAGAAGUUUCUUUGUGUACAUAUACCUAUUGUUCCAGGGGUACUGAUAAACAUCACAACCCACACUAAAUUUUGAUAUAUGAGGGAGGAGGCUUUCUUUUCCAUGUAUGACAGUGCUUCUGGCCUAGAUGUGUAAUCAUGUCAAGGGUGAGUUUUCUCUGCCUGACUUCAUCUGGAGAGUGUCUUUAGACAUCAACACCACUCAUCAAAUUUGAUAGACGUCCUUUGACACAGAUCCCUGAUAACUCUCCCCUCCCUUCAAAUAUAGGAUAAUUUGGUUCUGUGUUCUUAUUAUUAUUCAUAUACUAGGAAUGUGCUGUUUAAUGCAAAUUGAGCAUCCUUGAAUUGCCUAGUAUUAAACAAUUAUCUACACCUAUA
Meriones unguiculatus (Mongolian gerbil) is the source of this 2033-nucleotide long non-coding RNA. RefSeq lists it as uncharacterized. The transcript is spliced from 3 exons. The record is from RefSeq and is a predicted model, not a curated record. Lineage: Eukaryota; Metazoa; Chordata; Mammalia; Rodentia; Muridae.